CCUUUUCUCCUUUGUAGGCUGGGCGGCUGAGUUCCUCCUCCUGCAGGGCGGAGCUGGAGGUGAAUUCUGCAGCGACCUUCACACCUGGAGCUCAUCAACAAUCCCUCCGAUUUUUAAGGACCAGCUCCAGCCUCCUGUCUCCGCCAGAGUGUUAACGUUGCAGUUGGGGUUUUGCUCGCUCCACGGACUCUCCAGCCGUCAGCCUGCCUGCCUCCCCUCGGAUUCAUUCUGGCACACCACCGUCCACACCACCAUUUCCUCGAGGACUCUAUCACAGUGAAUCCCGAACAUAACUUACCUGCCAGUCGCCGCCCUGGAAUCCACCUGCGAGCCGCCCGUGAAAUACCUGUGUCCACCUCGUUUCACUACCAGUGUUUUCAGCUCACCUCAUUUUUGCUAAGAGGCC
Long non-coding RNA from Archocentrus centrarchus (flier cichlid), 406 nucleotides. RefSeq lists it as uncharacterized. Lineage: Eukaryota; Metazoa; Chordata; Actinopteri; Cichliformes; Cichlidae. The record is from RefSeq and is a predicted model, not a curated record. The transcript is spliced from 3 exons.